AUUGAACGCUGGCGGAAUGCUUUACACAUGCAAGUCGAACGGCAGCACGGACUUCGGUCUGGUGGCGAGUGGCGAACGGGUGAGUAAUGUAUCGGAACGUGCCCAGUCGUGGGGGAUAACGUAGUGAAAAUUACGCUAAUACCGCAUACGAUCUAUGGAUGAAAGCGGGGGAUCGCAAGACCUCGCGCGAUUGGAGCGGCCGAUAUCAGAUUAGGUAGUUGGGGGGGUAAAGGCCCACCAAGCCAACGAUCUGUAGCUGGUCUGAGCGGACGACCAGCAACACUGGAACUGAGACACGGUCAAGACUCCUACGGGAGGCAGCAGUGGGGAAUUUUGGAAAAUGGGCGAAAGCCUGAUCCAGCCAUUCCGCGUGCAGGAUGAAGGCCCUCGGGUUGUAAACUGCUUUUGUACAGAACGAAAAGGUUUCUACUAAUACUAGGAGCUCAUGACGGUACUGUAAGAAUAAGCACCGGCUAACUACGUGCCAGCCGCCGCGGUAA
Molecule: ribosomal RNA, 500 nt
Filed under: uncultured bacterium
Lineage: Bacteria
Description: partial 16S ribosomal RNA
Rfam family: Bacterial small subunit ribosomal RNA
Source: RNAcentral